This 253-nucleotide ribosomal RNA is filed under the name uncultured bacterium. Its description in RNAcentral is "partial 16S ribosomal RNA". It matches the Rfam family "Bacterial small subunit ribosomal RNA", at positions 524 to 776 of the family's 1533-position model. The record is from RNAcentral.
UACGUAGGGGGCGAGCGUUGUCCGGAAUUACUGGGCGUAAAGAGCUCGUAGGUGGUUUGUCGCGUUGUCCGUGAAAACUCACAACUCAAUUGUGGGCGUGCGGGCGAUACGGGCAGACUGGAGUACUGCAGGGGAGACUGGAAUUCCUGGUGUAGCGGUGGAAUGCGCAGAUAUCAGGAGGAACACCGGUGGCGAAGGCGGUUCUCUGGGCAGUAACUGACGCUGAGGAGCGAAAGCGUGGGGAGCGAACAGG